GCCAACAUUGAAACUCUGGUUCCCCGUAUGAUCACUGAAGUUAAGCAAUGUCGAGCCAGGUCAGUAUGUAGAUAGUUGACUACUUGGGAAUACCAUGUACUGUAAG
Molecule: non-coding RNA, 106 nt
Organism: Acanthosepion pharaonis
Lineage: Eukaryota; Metazoa; Mollusca; Cephalopoda; Sepiida; Sepiidae
Source: the annotation of a GenBank genome assembly